RNAcentral lists this ribosomal RNA (432 nucleotides) under uncultured bacterium. RNAcentral's name for it is "partial 16S ribosomal RNA". It matches the Rfam family "Bacterial small subunit ribosomal RNA", at positions 29 to 506 of the family's 1533-position model. The record is from RNAcentral.
AACGAACGCUGGCGGCAUGCCUAACACAUGCAAGUCGAACGAGACCUUCGGGUCUAGUGGCGCACGGGUGCGUAACGCGUGGGAACCUGCCCUUAGGUUCGGAAUAACUCCCCGAAAGGGGUGCUAAUACCGGAUAAUGUCUUCGGACCAAAGAUUUAUCGCCUUUGGAUGGGCCCGCGUUGGAUUAGCUAGUUGGUAGGGUAAAAGCCUACCAAGGCGACGAUCCAUAGCUGGUCUGAGAGGAUGAUCAGCCACACUGGGACUGAGACACGGCCCAGACUCCUACGGGAGGCAGCAGUGGGGAAGAUUGGACAAUGGGCGAAAGCCUGAUCCAGCAAUGCCGCGUGAGUGAUGAAGGCCUGAGGGUUGUAAAGCUCUUUUACCCGGGAUGAUAAGGACAGUACCGGGAGAAUAAGCUCCGGCUAACUCCGU